UUCCCACCCACUUGCCUCCCCCGUCCCCCCCCACCCCCCUCACCCCCAAGACAGACAGCCGUCGGGAGCGGGGAAACGUCUUUCGAGGGGGCUUUCCUCCCGCCAGGAGGGGUGAGGAGUCGGGGCUUAGCCUGUAGGCCUCAGGGGUACUCGAGAUUGGGCCAAGAGAGGGAGAGGCGUGCUCACGUCCCAUGGGGCUCGGGUACGAGGGGUGGGCAUGGCCCUCCCCGCGCCGUGCAUCGCCUCCCGCGCCACCCCCAGCUGUCGGUAUGAGGAACGCUAUUCCUACCGAGGCCGAUGGUAAAUUUAAGAGGCCUCUGGGAGGUCAGCAUCGGGGCUGGAGGGGACAGAGGGCAUGGGGAAGAGUCUUCUUGGGGAAGAUGGGCUCUGCUGGCGGCCAGCCCCCGUGAAGAACAUUGCUGAGCGCUGCUGCUGAAUAGCCGGCGGUGCUCGGCACUCCGGGGCGCAGGAGGGCAAUGAGCGGCAGCUGCCCCCUCUGCCACAUCUGUGUCCGAGGGUCUGGGGUCGCACUAUCUGGAUCCGGACCUCCUCGAAACUUUCAUUGCUGCAGAUAUACCGAUAGCCUUUGCAGUUCAUUGACCGGACCUUUAUCUGGUCAUAUUCUCCCAAAUUUGUUGGCAUCGGUACCGGGCGGGCACCUCCCCACGGUUGUGACUGCGACAUCCAUCACAACUUGUGCGCGAUUUGCAUGCAGGAUAGCAUGAUUCCAAGCCUUCUUCCGUCUGUAAUGCCAAUGACGACACAUAUUAUUUGCCAUACAGUUAUUUGGAGCAGAGUGUGUCAACCAGACUGUGAUUUCUGUGGGGUUUUUGCAAGUUUUGUUAAGCAGAAUGAAAAUAGGCCAACAGUGAUAUUUUUCAACAUACUUCUGGAUGUUUAUACCUUUUAUAUAUUAUACCACAAAGCCCAAAUAAUGUAAUAAGAAGUUGAGUUUAUGAUACCGAAUUAUGUAUAUAUAUAUAUAUAUUUCAAUAUAUAAUAAUAUAUAUAUAUAUUUCACUAUAUAUGUCAAUAUAUUAUUAUAUAUAUAAAAUAUAUUCUAUAUAUAUUAUAUAUAUAUAGAAUAUAAUAUAUUAUAUUAGUAGAAUAUAUAUAUAUUCUACUAAUAUGAAAAUAAAUAUAGCAUAAACAGAAAAAAGUGUUUUGAGUAUCAUAUAAAACGUUCACAAAUUGUCUUUAGUUUCUACCGAUUAUGGUUUUAUAUGAAGUUAUUAAUAUAACAGAAGCAGCUAAGCCAGACCACGUUAGAAUUCCUGUUAUCCUUGAAUGAUGCAAUUUAUUUCAACGAAUGCAGAAAUAUUUUAUUUUUUUCAAAACAAAAAACUAAAAUAUAUUAGAACUGACUUCAUUUUACAAUGAGAAGAGUUGGCAUUAUCUUUACCUGAAGCAGAUGAAAAAGAAGGAAACUCUUGAAUUUAUGUGGUUGGAGGUUUUUUUUUUCCCCUCCUUACCCAGUUUAUCAUUACUGCUUUUAAUUACAUGUACUCACUUUCUCGUAUGGACCAUGGUUUUUCAUCUCUCUGCAUGUUUUUGAAAACAGUCAAGCGCAGGUUUUCUUCUCCACCAGUUAUUUGGGUUGGGGCUGAUUUUUUUUGGUAUUUUUGUUUUGUUUGCUUUUUUUCUUUUAUUGUUGUUUUGGUUUUGGGGGUUUGUUUGUUUGCUUUGUGCGUGUGGUAGGGAUUAAAGAAAAUUGCUUUUGACUUCAGAAAUCACCUAAGUUCUUUCUGGGUAGGUCAGCCCCAUGCAUGAUCUACUAUAGAACUCUAAGAAUUCAGGGGGGAUAAAAAGCAGAUUGUUAGAUAGGAAAUCAUCAAAUUGGUUCUAAAGACAUUGAAAUUGGUGCACCGAUUUUUAAGGAGUGAGAAUUUGGCCCAGUUGUUUAAGCUACAAGGAUACGUGGAUGCUUGUUUUAAAAUGUAGAUCUCAAAUUUAUCUCUUUUUAACUUAUGUAUACAUUAUCUCCUUCUCAAAGGAUUUUGAAGGGACAGGAAAUCUGCUGAAGUUAACCUAGUUUAUUUCCAAAUUUAUUAGUGUUCCAGCCAUGCAGUUGUAUGGAACAUAAUUAUCAGAUUAAAAAGUUGUGCUAAGAACCUGAAACCAUACAAUCAGAGAUGAAGCGCUUAAAAUCCUUCUUAAUUAAUCUGGUCAAGGGAAUGGUUAGUUCUACUUCCGUCUUUCCUCUAAUGGUUUUCUCUUCUCAAAACUCUCAUCGUGAAAUAGCACACCUGGACUUCUAACCAUAAGAGUAGGACAUUCUGAAAACUGUGGCACUUUCUGAAGAGAGUUCGACUUUAAACGGGACACACUCGUGGUCCUCUGCCCCAGACAUAAUCACUUCAAAUGCAUCGUAAAUAUUAAAUGUAAUAUUUUUUCUUUAGUUAUUUAAACAGCUCAAAGUCGACUCCAGUCCUGCAAGUGCUACUCAGCCAAAACUUCUGUUAUGGAGAAGGGACACUUUUUCUGGUGGAGAAUGGAACAUUUCUCAGAAACUAGGAUAGAAAGUUUUCUGUUCCUGUUUUCCAUUUCUUUGGAAAUUGAGUCCUUUUUUUUUUUUUUUUCCCUUUUCAAACUCUGAGCAGAAUGUUAUUUAAAAAUGUACUUAAGUAAUAAAACGAGAAGUUCUGAACACGUUUUGGCUUGGCACGUUUAAAAUAUGAUAAGAUCCCACUCCCACUGGAGUCCAACCCAAACCAUCCUAUGAUCCUGUGAUUCCGUGAUUCUAAGAUUCUGUAAUUCUACGACUGGGAAGUCCGGCUUGCGCACUGGGACCCGGGACGCGCCGUCGGGAGGGACAUAGUGAAUUUUCUUUCCCUUUUAACGCCUAUAUGAACAACUACACUCGCUAAAGACCAAGGGGUUGGAAAUUAUCUUAAGGAGUAGUUCAACCCACAGUGAUCGUGGGCCUGUGACCCAGGAUCCAACAGGAGCUGGGAUUCAACUGUGUGUAGGAGCAAACUUGAAACCCUCAUGUAGGUGUCACACCCCAACGCAUGAAUUAGGCGUCCCUGUGUGUCGGCAGGCACCCCCGUAACCUGCAGCACACAAGCCUCUGAUUCUGUGUAAAGGUAGAUGCUAGUGAGAAGGGAGGACUUUUGUCACAGACGCAAAGUGGCUUUGAGGAAGAGUUUGCAGGCACAAUCCCUAACAGGUGAGGAAACUCAUCCUGCGAGGAUAGCUUCCCCCCAGACAUAACUGCACGUUGCUUCUUUGCUCCUGCUCCAGAAAAAAUAACCUUUACUUCAUGGGCAGAUUGUCCAAAGGGACGGGAAGGAGAGCAGAACGCAGGGACACAGCUCCCACAGUGGGGAAAACUCUCUUUGCUGUGGUUUGCCGGGAUACAGCACCAUCCAGAGAAAACUUUAGUGCAGGAUGAUGGAGACCCCGCCUGCUUCCUAGCUGUCAACGGGACCCCAUGUCCACGCCGCCACCGCCAGAGAACUUCACCAAGUAAAAACUGCAGGGUUAGGGGAAACCACUACAAAAACCUGUAUUUUUUGGCAUCUGCCCCCACUCCCUCCGGCUAGGUUAAUAUCGUGUUUUCAUCAGGAUGCAAUAGUUUCUGCCUGGCUUUCAAGUGUCCUGAGCAGAUUGAUGCCUGCAUCUCACUCAUCUGGUGCGGGGGGAGAUGCAAUACCCUGCCCGCAAACAACCAACCUCCAAAUGGUAUAUGACACUAUACCUGGUGUUAUUACCAUUAUGAAUAUGAUUAUUAAUAAUCAUCGCUUGCAUUGUUACUAAAAGAAAGGUCGAAAUAAACAACCUGUGGAGGUAGAGUGGCGUACUCUGUGCCGGCGGCGAUCCCUCGGGAUGCCUCCGGGGGAUCGGGCGGCGCGGGGGGGAGCCGCGGAUGAGCUGCGGCGCUGCCGCCCCCUGGCGCGCAUCCUCGGGGAUCCUGCACCACCACCCCCGCCGCCUCGCUGUGGGGCAAGAAAUGCGGCAACGUGCGAAUAGGCAGGAAAAAUAGUGUUAGGAACGAUAAGGUACGCGGCGGCGACGCGGGAGAGAGAGCAAGUGCAGCCUCACCACCGUCCAUGUCCGCGCUUUGCAAGGAAAAAACAAAAAUCGAAGGGUAUGCAGUGCUUCUGUCAGCUGGGUCCUCUCUAUACCGACCUACACAACCCCAUGGAAGUUCUGCUGCUGUCCAGAGAAAGAGGUGAAGGUUUGAAUCUCUGUACAAGGGAAAGCUUUCCUUUCCCUCCUUUGUGAAGCACAACCUGAGAGUUCUCACCAGUCAUCCCUUUAGUCACUGGUCACCAACUCUCACUUGCAUCAGAAAGCACAAUCAGAACUAACCCUUGAAGGGAAAUGCAUGUUUAUGAAUGAACAUUAGCUUUCUUGUGUGUAACAGACACUCCCCAGUGACAGAGUUUUGCUGCUACUGAGCCUAAAACAAAAACCGGUAGAUUGGUAGAAAACUGCUAUUUAAGGUAUCAGCUGAUCCAUUUCAAAACUGUUUUCACUGUGGCUCUGAUAAAGAAUUAGGGUCUUAGUUUUGCUGGCAGACCCUGCUUCUUACACAGCCUGUUGUGGUGUAUUUUUCUUUAUUUUGAUAUUUGUUCAGCGUCUGUUCACCCCUCCUCCCUAAUCUCCUCCCUCCCUCAGUUGUCAAUCUUCUCAAGCUCUUCCCUAACCCCCUCCUCUCCAAGUUGUCAAUCCUCCCUUCUCCUCCCCCUUUCCCCAGAACAUUCCCUGUCAUUCCUCCUCACCCCCUCCCUUGCUUCCAGAGCAUUCCCUGUCCAUUUAGUGAGGCUCAACACCCUAUUGGUUACUUUGUAUUAUUCCACUCCCCUGUUUCCCCUGAUAGGUUUGUGCUAUGCUAGUCCCUCCUUAGACUCCUCCCCAGGCCCUACCCUCAUUGGUUCUUAUACCCCUCCUCUUGAGUUCCUGUAUAAAACCUUUGUUCGGCCUCCCCGGAGGGUCUUGGGGCUCGCGUAAUAAAACCGUCCUGUUCACCCCCAAGUCCCGUGUUGCCUCCGUCUGUCCCCGCGGCGACAACUGGGAAUGCAGAGCUUCACAAGGGGAGCGGCCACCCUUUCUCUUCCCUCUCACUGCCCAGCACGCCACCGCUCGGGGUAUCGCGGUUAGAGGAGCUGCUCGCGCGUUACAACAGCCCUUUUGCUUUGCUUGUGAUGAAACAAAAGAUUUUCCAGAGAUCACUUGAACUAACAAAAUGAAUGUAUCAAAAAUGAAUGUA
Molecule: non-coding RNA, 5215 nt
Organism: Taeniopygia guttata (zebra finch)
Lineage: Eukaryota; Metazoa; Chordata; Aves; Passeriformes; Estrildidae
Source: RefSeq, a predicted model, not a curated record